This 207-nucleotide ribosomal RNA is filed under the name uncultured bacterium. Its description in RNAcentral is "partial 16S ribosomal RNA". It matches the Rfam family "Bacterial small subunit ribosomal RNA", at positions 568 to 774 of the family's 1533-position model. The record is from RNAcentral.
AGCGCAGGCGGACCGGCAAGUUGGAAGUGAAAACUAUGGGCUCAACCCAUAAAUUGCUUUCAAAACUGCUGGCCUUGAGUAGUGCAGAGGUAGGUAGAAUUCCCGGUGUAGCGGUGGAAUGCGUAGAUAUCGGGAGGAACACCAGUGGCGAAGGCGACCUACUGGGCACCAACUGACGCUGAGGCUCGAAAGCAUGGGUAGCAAACA